CAGCCGCCACGGGAAAACGAGGGGGGCAAGCGUUGUUCGGAAUUAUUGGGCGUAAAGGGCUCGCAGGCGGUUUCUUAAGUCUGAUGUGAAAGCCCCCGGCUCAACCGGGGAGGGUCAUUGGAAACUGGGAAACUUGAGUGCAGAAGAGGAGAGUGGAAUUCCACGUGUAGCGGUGAAAUGCGUAGAGAUGUGGAGGAACACCAGUGGCGAAGGCGACUCUCUGGUCUGUAACUGACGCUGAGGAGCGAAAGCGUGGGGAGCGAACAGGAUUAGAUACCCCUGUAGUCCCUGUCUCUUAUAA
This 301-nucleotide ribosomal RNA is filed under the name uncultured bacterium. RNAcentral's name for it is "partial 16S ribosomal RNA". It matches the Rfam family "Bacterial small subunit ribosomal RNA", at positions 509 to 809 of the family's 1533-position model. The record is from RNAcentral.